UCGUGGCUCAAUGGUAGAGCACUUCACUCGUAAUGAAGUGGUUGCGGGUUCGAUUCCCGCCG
RNAcentral lists this transfer RNA (62 nucleotides) under human oral metagenome. It matches the Rfam family "tRNA", at positions 6 to 65 of the family's 71-position model. Rfam says of the family: Transfer RNA (tRNA) molecules are approximately 80 nucleotides in length. Their secondary structure includes four short double-helical elements and three loops (D, anti-codon, and T loops). The record is from RNAcentral.